UUGAGUAUGUCGCAUUUUCUUUUUUAAAUAAACAUUUUUAAUUUCAAUUUUUCCAUACAAUCAAACAUGAUAAUUUAUUUUACUGAAGGAACCAAAGCCAAAGAUUCCUGAUUUGGUUAUCCUCGAUGCUCUCCUUACAUGAUUUGAUCUGAGCAUUAACCAUAUGGGUACAAGGUACUAUUUGAAAUUCAAAGAAUAAAGGGGAAUUUGGCCCACUACCCUUUUUUAAAGGGCUAUAACGAUAUUUGCCCUUCUAACCUGGACGGAGCAUGAAGAAAAGAGGAAGAGAAAGUGAGAGAGAAUCAGGUCGUUGCUAGCGAUCGGAGGCAGAGAGAGAUUAGCACCAUUUGAAUCGAAGAUGGAGAGAAGCCACCUUAAGUCGCCGAUUGAGGAUUCAAGAAGGUUUGCGCUUUUUGGAAAUUGGCAGUGGCUGUGUGGCAAAAACCUGAUGGAGAACACCGUUGUGCUUUCACUUAUGGACCAAAGUGAGGGCACGAUCGAAACUCCAACACAAAAGAAGCAUUUUGGGUCAGUCAUCAUCGAUUGAUUGUUGCUUGCCACUGUGAGGGUAAAGGAUGGAAAUUUUGGCGUGAUAUCAAUUUGAAGAGUAAAUUUUAGGGUCACUCAAUUCAGCUUGAUCAUGUUGUUCUUUUAACGGUGGAAUUUGACGACAGAGAAAUUUUUCAAUGGAGUAAGGGGAAUCAUAACUAUUCUUGCAAGCUGAAAUUCGAGGACCAAUCUAUCAUUGACCAAAAUCCUCACCAGGUACAUGGUUUAGUUCAAGAUAGAAAUGGAAAAACGAUAGCAAUACUAUUUGGAAAAUGGGAUGAGAGCAUGCAUUAUGUGGCUGGAAGUUGUUCUGGGAAGGGAAAAGGAUUGGAGUCUUGACCUGAUGCCCAGUUGCUUUGGAAGUGGAGCAAGCCACCCCAGUUUCCUACAAGAUAUAACUUGCCACGCUUUGCCAUCACCAUGAAUGAACUCACCCUUGGAUUAAAGUUGCAGGAAAAGUUGUCCCCUAUAGAUUUAAGGCUCAGGCCUGAUCAAAGGUAUCUAGACAUUGAUUGCUACAACUUUUUAUCCCUUGCCACAGGUAACAUACAUUUAAGUAACCAUUGUUGUUAAAUUAUUCAUUUAAGUUAUAAUUUCCUGAAGCUUGUAUCCCGAGGUACAUAACAACAUGUUGAUUAUUAUGUUUUCUUUGCAACUUGAGAGUUAGUUGGCUUCUAGGAAACCAGAAAUACUACUUCGGCUGGGGAAACUAGAAAAGCAUAUGUGGAUGCAAAGAGGCUGGGGACUUUCUAGAAAGAGUUCUUAUGGAGAAAUACUACUUCGGCUGACAUAUAAAGCAUAUGUUGAGGAUGAAGAGGAUGACAAAGCUGAGGCAGAAUCCACUAACAUUGAUGCUUUAGAUUGUGAAAGAAGAAACAAAGUAUUCUAAAAAAGCAGAUUAAGAGUCAUUCAUGGAUGUCUUAGCUACUUUAAUUGUGAGUGAAGAAUUUCGAGGAAUAGUAGCGUCAGAAACCGGAACUACCAAAAUAUUGAAUAAUGCUUCAAGGGUAGAAUCAAGAAUAUCAAGAUCGCUUGGUCUUAAUGAUGAAUCCGCACCCCAAGAUUCAAACAAUAGUUCAGAACGUCCCAAAGAAAUUCUCUGACAUUACUUUUAGUUUAAUGCUGGUUUGUAAGUUCAUUUUUUGUUUUUUGUUUUUUUGUUUUUUUAGGUUGUUAUGCAACAUCUAACAUUUGAUUGAAAUACUAGUUGUAUUGUGGUCUAAAUAUUGCCUGAAAGAGGAAUGUAAAAGGACAUAAACCGUAUCAGACAACUUGUCAGUACACAGCUUGUGUAUAUUUCUAUGUGUCUGCAUGCAAUGGUCUGCUUGUGUAGUUUUAAUACACACUAAUCAAACAAUGAUGCAAUGAUUGUAGGCAAACACUUAAAUUGACAGAGGUAACUGCAAGCGAUAAGCUGGAGAGUUUUCGUGCAGUAAAAAAGGUACUGUGAACUUCAAAUGAAAAUUCUAUAUGAUAAUAAGUGGUAAUGGUUGAAAAUUCUAUAUGAUAUCUGUGAACUUCAAAAGAGGUAUCUCUGACAUUGUCAUUUAUGCACAUGAGUGGUAAUGGUUCUUAAGUUGUAUUGCAUGGGCACAACCUGAUUCUGAAGCAAGCAUGGCAAAUUUCACCAUAUAAAGAUAAAUAAAGUGUUUUCCAAUUUCAAAUGAACUUUGACAUGGAUAUGCUAAUUCCUAGUUUAGCAACCACUUUCAAAAGCUAGCAUGACAUUCUAUGCAUAAUAAAUUCCAAUAUAUCAAGAGAAAUAAAGGGUUUUCCACUUUUAAAAUGAACUUUGACAUGGAUAUGUUAAUUCCUACUUUAUCAACUACUUUCAAAUGUUCUGUUAAAAAGUGAUAUAGUUGAAAACGCUAUACUGCAGUAAGUGCUAAUCUAUUUAAAGCAUGCUAUACUGCAGUAAGUGCUAAUAUAUUUUAUUUUUCCUUUUUAUUAUCAUUAUUAUUAUCAUAUUUUUUCAAGUCUUGCAAAGUAAUUUUGUUUGCUUCAUUUUGCACGUCCUCAAGGGUUAUAUUGCACUUGGGAAUGCUCAAUUUCCUAAUGGAACCAAUGGUAUUUUAUUUUAUUUUUUAAAUUAUGUAUUUCAUUUUAAGUGAAAUGUAUUGACUAUAUUCUUGUAAGAUUGUGUGAUAGGAAGGUACAUGUUCAUUUUCCUACAGGUAAUGCCCUAGACAUUCUUGCUUGAGUUCCACUAUAGAAAAAUGGUCUUGAUUAUCGGCACGGUACAGGCCACGGAAUUGGGUCUUACCUUAAUGUUCAUGAAAGCAAGUAUGUUUUACUACUUUCCUCUAUUAUUACUGGGUAUCAAAUUGGUCUCCGUUAUAGUGGAGGUGCCCCGUAUGCUUUUAAUGCUGUCACUAAAGUUUGGCAUUAUACCAAUUGUGGUGCCAGUUGGUGUUUGAGAUUUUGACAUUGAUGGGGAACUUUGGGUCAAAUUAGGAUUGAUACCAACAGAGCCUUUUGUAAGAGUUGUAAUAUUCUCUAGAUUUUAUUCGUAAAACACUUGUACAUUUUUCUCUUGCUAAUUCAGAUUUAGUUUUUAGUUUUUCUACAUGAUUCUUAUGUCAAGAUGAAGUGUAAGGACCCAAUUUCAUUAUUAAAUUCUCCAUAUUGUUUGAAAUGUGGAAAAGCAAAAAAUAAAAAGGAUGAGAAUUUAAAUA
This is a long non-coding RNA of Ziziphus jujuba (common jujube), 3224 nucleotides long. RefSeq lists it as uncharacterized. The transcript is spliced from 6 exons. The record is from RefSeq and is a predicted model, not a curated record. NCBI's taxonomy places the organism in Eukaryota, Viridiplantae, Streptophyta, Magnoliopsida, Rosales, Rhamnaceae.